This 270-nucleotide ribosomal RNA is filed under the name uncultured Acetobacter sp. RNAcentral's name for it is "partial 16S ribosomal RNA". It matches the Rfam family "Bacterial small subunit ribosomal RNA", at positions 29 to 324 of the family's 1533-position model. The record is from RNAcentral. Lineage: Bacteria; Pseudomonadati; Pseudomonadota; Alphaproteobacteria; Acetobacterales; Acetobacteraceae.
AGCGAACGCUGGCGGCAUGCUUAACACAUGCAAGUCGCACGAAGGUUUCGGCCUUAGUGGCGGACGGGUGAGUAACGCGUAGGUAUCUAUCCAUGGGUGGGGGAUAACACUGGGAAACUGGUGCUAAUACCGCAUGACACCUGAGGGUCAAAGGCGUAAGUCGCCUGUGGAGGAGCCUGCGUUUGAUUAGCUAGUUGGUGGGGUAAAGGCCUACCAAGGCGAUGAUCAAUAGCUGGUUUGAGAGGAUGAUCAGCCACACUGGGACUGAGA